Molecule: non-coding RNA, 3716 nt
Organism: Podarcis lilfordi (Lilford's wall lizard)
Lineage: Eukaryota; Metazoa; Chordata; Lepidosauria; Squamata; Lacertidae
Source: the annotation of a GenBank genome assembly
GCAGAGAAACAAAUCAAGUGAUCUGUUAAUGGUGGGCACAGCAAGGUAAAGCAUGAUUAUUGAAACACAGCAGGGGGAAAGGACCUCGCUGAGUUUUAAGCUGCUCAUGUGUACAUGCCCUAAGAUGGAGCCGUUCAUUGCCAAGGAUGUGGAGCUAUCAGUGGGAAUGACAUCUCUAUGUGGAAUCCCCUCCUUCCAUAAUAAAUAGUAAAACUUCACGUUGAGUGCUUCCCCAUUUUAAUAUAUGUGUUAGUUUAUAUAUUAUAAGUCACUUUGAGUUAUCUUGGUAAAAAUGUCAAAUAAAUUUAAUUAAGUAAUUAAUUAAUUAGGUAAGUAAGUAAGUAAUAGUGACAUUGAGACUUAGGUUUAUGCUGGGGUGUUUUAACUACACCUUGCAGAAAAACUCAAUAUGCAGAUGCCAUUUUCAGCAACAGGCCCGUUCUCCUUGUAAUACAGGCAACUCCUUAUUUGUGCACAACAGGUGAUGCACACGCUGUUUUUGGCACUGCAAGGGGGAGUGGCAGGAGUGGGGCAGGGCAGGAUUACGUGCGUCCCACUGGCACGUGUGUGACAUAGAACCUCCCCCUCCCACGUAAAUGGCGAGUUGCCUGUAAAUUGCUCCACAACCCCUCAAAUUGCUAUUGAGCCUCUUUGAUACUAUGUUGAAUGCAUGUGUGACUAUUAUUGAUGCAGGAUAGAAAGUCUGCAGCGUGUGCCCAUUGUUAAACGGAAUGUGCUUUCCAGGCUCUAUGGGAACCUGUGGCCCUGCAGAUGCUGGCAGACUCCCACCAGCCCCAGCAAGCAUGGCCAAGGACAAUGGGAGUUGUAGUUCAGCAACAUCUGGAGGGCCAGAGGUUCCCCACACCUGCUCUAUGGGUUUUACAUUAGCAUUUUAGACAUGGGAUAUGCAACAGACGAAAAGCUUUUCUUGUUUUGUGCAAAAUCUCUCUAAGAAUGCAUUUUAGGCUGGGUUAUGCCUCUUGCAUAAACAGAGCCCUUUCCCAAUCAAAUGUACAUUCUCAGUUUCUUAUGUUUGAAUUGCAGACCUAAGUAUGCCAGUAUUAGCAUGUGUGUGUGUGUGGGGGAACUAUAGUCAUUCUUUCUCUCCCUCCCCGACCACCACUCCAUCUCCCUAUGCCAAUUUGGAAAUUCAGUUGGGUUGCUGAAUUUCAGUCAGACUGCAUCCUCAAAGUACCCUGGGAAAUGUAGUUUUGUGACUGGAAAGGAUUUCCAGAAAGGACAUAUCUGCACUGCGAAUUAAGACACCACCUUUUCAGAGAUGUGGGAGGGGGCAAGGAUCAAGGAAGGACUUAGGGGACAUGGGGGAAUAUAGGAAUCUGCCCUAUACCAAAUCAGACUGAUGGUCAACUCUGUCUGGCAGAGACUCUGCAGAGAUUCUGAUAGGAUUCUCUCCCAGAGCUAUCUGGAGAUGCCAGGAUGUGAACCUUUGCCACUGACCUCUGGCCUUUCCCUAUGAGGGGAGAAGGACAAGGAACGAGUGAGAAAGAUGGGUGUUUCAGGACUCUGUGGAGAUACAGGCGGCAUCAUGGGCAGAAAUUAUUUUUACCAACUUUGGCUACUUCACCAACAAUAGGGUUAUUGGAAGAAGGCAGAUCUUGUCUCAGUUAAUAACAUGUUUUGGUUACAUCCAGGUUAGAUUACUGCAAUGCGCUCUACAGGGGCUGCCCUUGAAGAUUAUUUGGAAAGGUCAGUUAGUGCAGAACUGGGCAGCUAGAACACUUGUAGGGACUAGACAUUAUGGCUAAUCCAUGCUAGUUACAUUGGCUGCCUAUUUGUUUCCAGAUGCAGCUGAAGGUGCUUUGUUAUUGACCUUUAAAACUCUAGUAGUCAGGGGCCGGGCUAUUCCUGCACUCAUAUGAGCCUGCCCUGGCCUUAAGAACAUCAUCUGAGGCCUUGCUCUGGUGAGAGUUUUCAGGCUGGCAAGUAUCAGAGACAUUUGUAGUGGAUUCACACCUCUGGAAUACCCUCCCUGAGGAGGUCCAUACAGCCCUUUCUUCACUGACUUUGUAGAUCCUUAAAGCCCUUCUUAUGUCAGUCUGCAUAUAAUUUUAUGUAGAUCUGUUUUAGCACAUCUUUCUCUGGUGCCUUUAUUUUCAUUGUGCUUAAUGCUAGUGUUUUAUGCAGUUACAAAAUAUUUUUAAAACAUGGGGAUUUUGUUGUACAGUUGUAUAUAUAUGACAUCACCUUGUGAGGCUAUAUAACUUGAAAGGUGGGAUAAGCAUCUCUGAGGCCCCAUCUGCACUAUACAUUGAAAGUAGUAUCAUGCCACUUUCAACUGCCAUGGCUUCCCUAAAAUAAUCCUGGGAAUGGUAGCUUGUUAAGGGUGCUGAGAGUUGUUACAAGAGUCUUAUUCCCCUCAAAGAGCUAUAGUUCUCAGUGUAGCUUAACAAUCAACCCCUCUUCCCAGGGCCUUGGUGGGUCCUCAAAGUUCCUGGUUUUGCCCUGACCUCUGUGUUUCUGUCAUAACUUCUGAAUGGAAUCUACAUGUGUACACACUGUACAUUUCCACAGUUUACUGACUCUGCAACACAGAUCCACUUUGAACAUGUGCACACUCUGUUAUGAUGAGCACAUAAGAACAUAGGAAGCUACCAGUCAGACCACUGGGUCAUCUAGUUCAGUGUGGUCUACACCAGGUGCCUCCAACCUUUUCAGACCCAGAACCCACAUGAAUGUGGGGACCUAUUUUUUAACCACAUAUAUGAAUGGUGUUGAUGCUCCUGUUGUGACCCACCUUGCAUCAGGCCAUGACCCAAUAGUGGGUCAUGACCCACUAGCUGAAGACCAGCAGUCUACACUGACUUGUAGCGACUCUCUCGGAUUUGGGGCAGGGAGUCUUUUCCCAGCCCUAUCUGGAAACACCAGGAUUAAGUCUGGGGCCUUCUGUAUCCAAAGCAUCGGGUGCAAUCCUGAUCCCUGCCCCCCAACAUGUGUGUGUGUGCGUGUGCAUGUGCGUGCACACUCAGGUAUUACAAAUAUGCUAUCCAUACACAUACUUUUCUCUGAAGAGAAGCAAAAUACAGAAUAAAGUUAAAUUCAGGCUUAAAACACAGAGGUGCUUUUUCUUGCUGUAUAAUUCUUAGGGCAGCUUUCAACAACUUGGCACCUUCCAGAUGUCUUGGACUAUAGCUCCCAUCAUUCCCCAGUCAGCAUGACCAAAGGUCAAGGAUAAUGGGAUCUGGAGUCCAACAGCAUCUGGUUGGGGAAGGCUAUCUUAUGAGAAUCACAGAGAAGCUUCACCAGAAGAGCUGCGGUAGAUUUUAUUACCACUAUCCUUCCUACGCAGGGACGCCGCUGCAUCUCCUGCAGAACCGAUAAAGCUGCCGGGUGCUAAGAGUUAACACCAAGUUAAAAGUACCAACACACAGGAGCAUCCAGGGUGACAUGCUUCAAGUUGAGACAGUACAAGUUAUGCAAAUGCAAAAGGGGUGUGCGGUAUUGACAUUUUGAGGUCACAGUGAUAGGAAUGUAUUAUUUAUAGGCCUGGGUUGCAGGAGGCCGAUAAACUACAUUUGAAAUCCUCGAGGUUUGCAAAGCUAGCAGAAGAGUCUCUUCCCCCCGCUUUUCCUUUUUAAAGAUUCACAUUAGCAGGUAUGAGGUUAACCUACCUAAAAAUUCUCUAUUUAGACAGCCUUUUCUGUAAGAUGGCUGGUUCUGUAUAAUAAAAGAAGUGAUGUAGAAAUAAAAGUUUUUAU